CAGUCCUCAGUGAUGGGAUACGGUAGAA
RNAcentral lists this non-coding RNA (28 nucleotides) under Homo sapiens (human). The record is from RNAcentral. Lineage: Eukaryota; Metazoa; Chordata; Mammalia; Primates; Hominidae.